AUUGAACGCUGGCGGCAUGCCUUACACAUGCAAGUCGAACGGCAGCACGGGUGCUUGCACCUGGUGGCGAGUGGCGAACGGGUGAGUAAUACAUCGGAACAUGUCCUGUAGUGGGGGAUAGCCCGGCGAAAACCGGAUUAAUACCGCAUACGAUCUACGGAUGAAAGCGGGGGACCUUCGAGCCUCGCGCUAUAGGGUUGGCCGAUGGCUGAUUAGCUAGUUGGUGGGGUAAAGGCCUACCAAGGCGACGAUCAGUAGCUGGUCUGAGAGGACGACCAGCCACACUGGGACUGAGACACGGCCCAGACUCCUACGGGAGGCAGCAGUGGGGAAUUUUGGACAAUGGGCGAAAGCCUGAUCCAGCAAUGCCGCGUGUGUGAAGAAGGCCUUCGGGUUGUAAAGCACUUUUGUCCGGAAAGAAAUCCUUGGCCCUAAUACGGUCGGGGGAUGACGGUACCGGAAGAAUAAGCACCGGCUAACUACGUG
RNAcentral lists this ribosomal RNA (486 nucleotides) under uncultured bacterium. RNAcentral describes it as "partial 16S ribosomal RNA". It matches the Rfam family "Bacterial small subunit ribosomal RNA", at positions 30 to 507 of the family's 1533-position model. The record is from RNAcentral.